ACAAACUUGGUCAUUUAGAGGAAGUAAAAGUCGUAACAAGGUUUCCGUAGGUGAACCUGCGGAAGGAUCAUUACAAUAUAAAUCCCUCGGACCGCCGCAAGGCGGACCGGGCAGAGGCGGCCUGGGCUCAUCCCCCACGGCCUCUUCGUGGUAACCCCCUGUGAAAACCCCACGUUCGCCUCGGCGGCACACCCCCGACGGCUUCGGCCACGGGGGCGGUCAGUCCGCCGGCGGCACCCAACCAAAACCCAUAACCCUUUAGAAGAAGCUGUCUGAAAUCAAAGGUCGAAUGACUAUAAAACUUUCAACAACGGAUCUCUUGGUUCCCGCAUCGAUGAAGAACGCAGC
This 348-nucleotide unclassified non-coding RNA is filed under the name uncultured fungus. RNAcentral's name for it is "partial contains small subunit ribosomal RNA, internal transcribed spacer 1, and 5.8S ribosomal RNA". The stretch from base 1 to 73 matches the Rfam family "Eukaryotic small subunit ribosomal RNA", at positions 1759 to 1831 of the family's 1831-position model. Lineage: Eukaryota; Fungi. The record is from RNAcentral.